AGCGAGGGAGCGAGCGUGACGCAUGCGCCCCCAACUUGGAUACGAACUCGCCCGCGGUUCAUAAUUGUUCAUAAAGCGGCCGUUAGCAUUGCUCCGACUCCGACUCCGACUGCUGUCUGCCUGCCUGGAGCUGUAUUUCGAGUACCCAAACCCGCACUCACACUCACACUCACACUCACUCACAUUCGAAUCUUAAUCGUUGCCGUGCGUGCGAUUUUUUGUUGGCUUUGCGGUUCCAAGGUAUUUGUUGUUCAAUUUUGAGUUCAUUUUUUGUAUCAUUUUUCGAUUUAUUAAAAGCAAUUUCAAUAGGUACAAUACGCGUACUCGUGUGCGGUAUAUUUUUUUUGCACACACGCAUCGGAUCGGUCCAGUGCCGCCCACUCUCCGGGCCAAGAAGAAACCCGUUUGGAAUAGCCUGGCCAGCGGCAGUGGCUGACUGCCUGACUGCCUGCCUGUUGCCUGCAUGCCUGAACUAAUUGUCGCACAAUUUUUCACCGCGUGGGCCAGGAGCAGACCCCAAUAUUAGAUGCCAUCGUGGCCAAUGGAAAGCGUGUUGUGCGUGAACCGCUUGCAUAAUCUCCACAGCCAGCCCGUAAAUUGUAAGCGUAAUCACAGAGCACGGGUUCAUGCGAUCGGCUGAUGAUUAAACUUCCUGCCAGGAGGCUGCUGCUGCUAAACUCCCUUUUUAAAUUGAUGCUAAUUAAAUGUAUUGUGAAACAGGAACCGAACAACUGAAAGUUAAACGAGAAACCAGUCUCUGGUUGUUAUUUUCCAGAACAACUCAAUGGAAAGAGUUCAUCCAGAUCUAAAUAUAAAUGUUGUAAGUCAUAACAAGCGAGUCGCGGGCAGGCAGGCAGGAGUCUGGUGACUGCCCUGCCACAUGGGUGACAUAAUCUGAUGUUUGCUGCUGGCUCCGAAUGCAACGAAAGUUGCUCACCGCUACCGAUGUGUCGAUGCUGAGAACUGACCUCAGCCAGGUCUACACUUUUGGCAACAUAUCUCAUCCUUGAGGUGGCUAAAAAUGUCUCAAAGCGUUCAAUGCCAGCCUUUGUGGCACAUCGCUGGCAGUGCAGUGCGUAGAACGUGCCGUGUGGCAAGUGUGGCCGCUGCCGCUGCCGCUGCCUGCCUCAACCUUGGCCGUCAUUUGGCGGUGCGCUGGCAUUAAGAAAUUUAACCACAUUACACGGCCACACUGCGUAUACUCGACUUGGG
This 1212-nucleotide long non-coding RNA is filed under the name Drosophila guanche. The record is from RNAcentral. Lineage: Eukaryota; Metazoa; Arthropoda; Insecta; Diptera; Drosophilidae.